This 450-nucleotide ribosomal RNA is filed under the name uncultured bacterium. Its description in RNAcentral is "bacterial SSU rRNA". It matches the Rfam family "Bacterial small subunit ribosomal RNA", at positions 354 to 796 of the family's 1533-position model. The record is from RNAcentral.
GUGGGGAAUAUUGCGCAAUGGGCGAAAGCCUGACGCAGCCAUGCCGCGUGUGUGAAGAAGGCCUUCGGGUUGUAAAGCACUUUCAAUUGGGAAGAAAGGUUGCGUGUUAAUAGCACGUAGCUGUGACGUUACCUUUAGAAGAAGCACCGGCUAACUCCGUGCCAGCAGCCGCGGUAAUACGGAGGGUGCGAGCGUUAAUCGGAAUUACUGGGCGUAAAGCGCGCGUAGGCGGUUUGUUAAGUCGGAUGUGAAAUCCCCGGGCUCAACCUGGGAAUGGCAUUCGAUACUGGCCGACUAGAGUACGAGAGAGGGAGGUAGAAUUCCACGUGUAGCGGUGAAAUGCGUAGAUAUGUGGAGGAAUACCGGUGGCGAAGGCGGCCUCCUGGCUCGAUACUGACGCUGAGGUGCGAAAGCGUGGGUAGCAAACAGGAUUAGAAACCCGAGUAGUCC